GCCCUUAUAGCUCAGUUGGUAGAGCACCUGAUUUGUAAUCAGGGGGUCUCGGGUUCGAAUCCUGAUGGGGGCACCA
RNAcentral lists this transfer RNA (76 nucleotides) under Rhizobium sp. 58. RNAcentral describes it as "tRNA-Thr". It matches the Rfam family "tRNA". From Rfam's summary of the family: Transfer RNA (tRNA) molecules are approximately 80 nucleotides in length. Their secondary structure includes four short double-helical elements and three loops (D, anti-codon, and T loops). RNAcentral also lists the same sequence under 3 other names. Lineage: Bacteria; Pseudomonadati; Pseudomonadota; Alphaproteobacteria; Hyphomicrobiales; Rhizobiaceae. The record is from RNAcentral.